This is a small nucleolar RNA of Psammomys obesus (fat sand rat), 135 nucleotides long. RefSeq annotates it as small nucleolar RNA SNORA67. NCBI's taxonomy places the organism in Eukaryota, Metazoa, Chordata, Mammalia, Rodentia, Muridae. The record is from RefSeq and is a predicted model, not a curated record. The transcript has a single exon.
CUCCAAUGGGGUUAACCUCUCCAAGGGGCUAGCUUUUAAGGAACGUAGCAACUUGGAAGAAAACCAGGAUCGCUUGAGGUCUCUGGUAAACAAAAGAUACUUGUUUUCUUUGCCUUCCUUUGGCUGCCAAUAUGG